This is a long non-coding RNA of Phyllostomus discolor (pale spear-nosed bat), 997 nucleotides long. RefSeq lists it as uncharacterized. The record is from RefSeq and is a predicted model, not a curated record. Lineage: Eukaryota; Metazoa; Chordata; Mammalia; Chiroptera; Phyllostomidae. The transcript is spliced from 3 exons.
GCAAUUAAGCUCCCUCCUGGGAGACUCUAGACCUGGAGACUGUCAGUGCACAGAGAUGAUCAACUGCAUUUGUCUCCCUCAUGCCAGAAAAAUGGAACACUCCAGAGUUCAUCGAGGACUUAUGCUAUAUUUCAAUGAGCUGAAAGCUCCAAAUGUCUGCCUGAUGUGACUCCCGCCCACCUGAAGGGAAUGGUCAGUGAUGCUGAACCAGUGACGUCCUCGCUGAUACUCAAAGUGCUGACACAUCCAUGCUGUCAUCUCCUGACAGAGCUCUGAGUUGGAUGUGGCAGACAGCAUAAUCCCCAUGAGACCCCAGAGCUCAGAGAGAUGAGGGGACUUGCCCAAGGUCACAGGAGUGUUUGUUUCUCUACAAGGCCAGGUCAUUGAAGGUAUCACCUGGAAACUAAACAGCUUGCUCUCAGUUCCUUAUCCCAGUCUCUGCUUUUGGAAGAACCCAAGCUAAGAUCCAUGGCAGGCAUUAGGAGGGACUGAAUAAAUGGAUGAAGAAAAACUGAUGAUAUUAUAAUGAGAGGAGUGAAGGACACUGUCAAAGGUGGACAAAUGACCAUCUGCUGUGUAUGAAGAAAGACCCUAUUACCUACCUCAUUAUUCAUUCACAGUGAAGGACCAUAGCUUUCCAGUGUGCACACCAACAUGUUGGUUGAACUGACUACCUUAGAAAUACUGGGCCUAAGAGUACUGUGGGUAUGACUAAUAAUCGUUUCCCUAGAAUGGACACUUCCAUUUGGUAGGGACUUUAUUUGCAUCAUGUCAUUUAUUCUUCACAAACCUCCUGUGACCCAGGAACUAAUUAAUCCCAUUUUAUAAGUGAGGAAACUGAGGUUUAUAGAGGUGACUCAAGAUCACAUGGCGGCACAACUGAAUCUCAGCUGGGUCUGUCAGGUAGCAGGGUCCAUACUCCUGUGUCCAUCUAUCUACCUGAGCCUGUUACAGCAUCCAGGCUGGGGCCUCACUCUCCAGCUGCUUGGCAAGCAAU